GACGAACGCUGGCGGCGUGCUUAACACAUGCAAGUCGAACGGACAGACGAUGCGCUUGUGCGGUGCUCGAUUGGCGCACGGGUGAGUAACACGCGAGUAAACCGCACUUGUCUUUGGGAUAACUCCACGAAACUGGGGCUAAUAUCGGAUAGGAGCUACUGCUGCGCAGUGGGGGUUGGUAAGAUUCGGCGGUUGGGGAUGGUCUCGCGGCGUAUCAGCUUGUUGGUGAGGUAGUGGAUUACCAAGGCUAUGACGGGUAGCCGACCUGAGAGGGUGACCGGCCACACUCGAACGUAGACACGGUCAAGACGACUACAGGAGGGAGCAGUAGGGAAUCGUCCGCAAUGGGCGAAAGCCUGACGGAGCAACGCCGCGUGAGUGAUGAAGGUCUUCGGAUCGUAAAACUCUGUUAUUAGGGAAGAACAAAUGUGUAAGUAACUAUGCACGUCUUGACGGUACCUAAUCAGAAAGCCACGGCUAACUACGUG
Molecule: ribosomal RNA, 488 nt
Filed under: uncultured bacterium
Lineage: Bacteria
Description: partial 16S ribosomal RNA
Rfam family: Bacterial small subunit ribosomal RNA
Source: RNAcentral